AUCCUCAUUUUUGAGUGAAUCAGUCUUAGUUGCUUUCAUUUACUGAGGGCUGUGUUCAUUCUUACUGUAAGGUGGAAAUGACACCCUGUUUAUACAAAUGACGAAUCUGAAGUUCAGCCAAGUUAAGGCAUUUACACAGAUCACAGGGUUAGUGCUGAAAUGGGGAUCCCAGUCUGGCCACUUUCUGAGUCGAUACAUAAGGACUUCAAAAAUUGCCAAGAAGGGUCAUUAUGUUAUUAGCACUGUUGGUCCUUUCCAUUUUCCUGUUCUUUUGCAGGUCUUAGCACCUGAACUGAAGUGCCAUCUCCCCUACUUUCUCUGUUUUUGUUUUCACUAUUAUUUUCCCUUCUCCCUGUACUAAAUGGGUUAAGGUCAGUUCAAAAGAAAGGGAAUCUCUCAAAGUUAGUCAGAAGCACCAGGCAAAAGCCUGUGUAUCUCUUCAACAGGUCCUAAAGGCUGGUUUAUGGAGGGCAAAGAUGUGACAUGGCAAUAGCAGUUCUAGAAAGAUGUUUUACUUCUCCUUAGAAUUAAUUGCCCUCACCAUUUGUAUUAUACAAUGAGAACUUCUUUUCUUUUAUCUUUAUGUUUUUCGCAUAGCAUAGGUAUUCUAAUAAAAAGCAAAAAUUCCUGGCAACCACAACCUACUGCCAGCUUGUCUGGGCUAACUCUGGUCAUGAAGGGCUCUGGUUGAAGGAACCACAUGAGGAGAAGACUUCUAGAUGAAGUUGGCCUCUCCAAGUUGGUGGAGUCUCUAGAAGAGCUAAGGGAUUGUGGCCCCUACUGAAGAGUUGGAGGAGAAGCAACAAGUUUCAUGAAUUUUUUUUCCUGGGGGAGCUGAAUACACCCUAAAAUCAAUGGGCAGAAACAAAAAUUCUCUCUGGGUCUCUUUGGGGGAAAUCAUUAAAAUCCUUCUUCGUCUGUAAAAUGAGAGAGUUAGACU
Molecule: long non-coding RNA, 940 nt
Organism: Phyllostomus discolor (pale spear-nosed bat)
Lineage: Eukaryota; Metazoa; Chordata; Mammalia; Chiroptera; Phyllostomidae
Exons: 2
Source: RefSeq, a predicted model, not a curated record